AGUGGUUAGUACUCUGCGUUGUG
Molecule: non-coding RNA, 23 nt
Filed under: Gallus gallus (chicken)
Lineage: Eukaryota; Metazoa; Chordata; Aves; Galliformes; Phasianidae
Also listed under: 1 other name
Source: RNAcentral